RNAcentral lists this transfer RNA (75 nucleotides) under Acholeplasmataceae bacterium. RNAcentral's name for it is "tRNA-Trp". It matches the Rfam family "tRNA". From Rfam's summary of the family: Transfer RNA (tRNA) molecules are approximately 80 nucleotides in length. Their secondary structure includes four short double-helical elements and three loops (D, anti-codon, and T loops). RNAcentral also lists the same sequence under 7 other names. The record is from RNAcentral. Lineage: Bacteria; Bacillati; Mycoplasmatota; Mollicutes; Acholeplasmatales; Acholeplasmataceae.
AGGGGUGUGGUGUCAACGGUAGCACAGCGGUCUCCAAAACCGUUAGUACGGGUUCGAAUCCUGUCACCCCUGCCA